AAGGCGAGGCCGAAAGGCGUAGUCGAUGGGAAACAGGUUAAUAUUCCUGUACUUGGUGUUACUGCGAAGGGGGGACGGAGAAGGCUAUGUUGGCCGGGCGACGGUUGUCCCGGUUUAAGCGUGUAGGCUGGUUUUCCAGGCAAAUCCGGAAAAUCAAGGCUGAGGCGUGAUGACGAGGCACUACGGUGCUGAAGCAACAAAUGCCCUGCUUCCAGGAAAAGCCUCUAAGCAUCAGGUAACAUCAAAUCGUACCCCAAACCGACACAGGUGGUCAGGUAGAGAAUACCAAGGCGCUUGAGAGAACUCGGGUGAAGGAACUAGGCAAAAUGGUGCCGUAACUUCGGGAGAAGGCACGCUGAUAUGUAGGUGAAGUCCCUUGCGGAUGGAGCUGAAAUCAGUCGAAGAUACCAGCUGGCUGCAACUGUUUAUUAAAAACACAGCACUGUGCAAACACGAAAGUGGACGUAUACGGUGUGACGCCUGCCCGGUGCCGGAAGGUUAAUUGAUGGGGUCAGCGCAAGCGAAGCUCUUGAUCGAAGCCCCGGUAAACGGCGGCCGUAACUAUAACGGUCCUAAGGUAGCGAAAUUCCUUGUCGGGUAAGUUCCGACCUGCACGAAUGGCGUAAUGAUGGCCAGGCUGUCUCCACCCGAGACUCAGUGAAAUUGAACUCGCUGUGAAGAUGCAGUGUACCCGCGGCAAGACGGAAAGACCCCGUGAACCUUUACUAUAGCUUGACACUGAACAUUGAGCCUUGAUGUGUAGGAUAGGUGGGAGGCUUUGAAGUGUGGACGCCAGUCUGCAUGGAGCCGGCCUUGAAAUACCACCCUUUAAUGUUUGAUGUUCUAACGUGGACCCGUGAUCCGGGUUGCGGACAGUGUCUGGUGGGUAGUUUGACUGGGGCGGUCUCCUCCUAAAGAGUAACGGAGGAGCACGAAGGUUGGCUAAUCCUGGUCGGACAUCAGGAGGUUAGUGCAAUGGCAUAAGCCAGCUUGACUGCGAGCGUGACGGCGCGAGCAGGUGCGAAAGCAGGUCAUAGUGAUCCGGUGGUUCUGAAUGGAAGGGCCAUCGCUCAACGGAUAAAAGGUACUCCGGGGAUAACAGGCUGAUACCGCCCAAGAGUUCAUAUCGACGGCGGUGUUUGGCACCUCGAUGUCGGCUCAUCACAUCCUGGGGCUGAAGUAGGUCCCAAGGGUAUGGCUGUUCGCCAUUUAAAGUGGUACGCGAGCUGGGUUUAGAACGUCGUGAGACAGUUCGGUCCCUAUCUGCCGUGGGCGCUGGAGAACUGAGGGGGGCUGCUCCUAGUACGAGAGGACCGGAGUGGACGCAUCACUGGUGUUCGGGUUGUCAUGCCAAUGGCACUGCCCGGUAGCUAAAUGCGGAAGAGAUAAGUGCUGAAAGCAUCUAAGCACGAAACUUGCCCCGAGAUGAGUUCUCCCUGACCCUUUAAGGGUCCUGAAGGAACGUUGAAGACGACGACGUUGAUAGGCCGGGUGUGUAAGCGCAGCGAUGCGUUGAGCUAACCGGUACUAAUGAACCGUGAGGCUUAACCUU
Molecule: ribosomal RNA, 1552 nt
Filed under: Shigella sonnei
Lineage: Bacteria; Pseudomonadati; Pseudomonadota; Gammaproteobacteria; Enterobacterales; Enterobacteriaceae
Description: partial 23S ribosomal RNA
Rfam family: Bacterial large subunit ribosomal RNA
Source: RNAcentral